UUUUUUUGUUUCUUUCUCCUA
This 21-nucleotide non-coding RNA is filed under the name Caenorhabditis elegans. Lineage: Eukaryota; Metazoa; Nematoda; Chromadorea; Rhabditida; Rhabditidae. The record is from RNAcentral.